GUGCCAGCCGCCGCGGUAAUACCGGCAGCCCAAGUGAUGGCCGAUCUUAUUGGGCCUAAAGCGUCCGUAGCUGGCCACGCAAGUCCGUCGGGAAAUCCACUCGCCCAACGAGUGGGCGUCCGACGGAAACUGCAUAGCUUGGGACCGGAAGGCGCGACGGGUACGUCCGGGGUAGGAGUGAAAUCCCGUAAUCCUGGACGGACCGCCGAUGGCGAAAGCACGUCGCGAGGACGGAUCCGACAGUGAGGGACGAAAGCCAGGGUCUCGAACCGGAUUAGAUACCCCAGUAGUCC
This 293-nucleotide ribosomal RNA is filed under the name uncultured bacterium. RNAcentral describes it as "partial 16S ribosomal RNA". It matches the Rfam family "Archaeal small subunit ribosomal RNA", at positions 455 to 747 of the family's 1478-position model. The record is from RNAcentral.